This is a non-coding RNA of Myodes glareolus (Bank vole), 4676 nucleotides long. The record is from RefSeq and is a predicted model, not a curated record. NCBI's taxonomy places the organism in Eukaryota, Metazoa, Chordata, Mammalia, Rodentia, Cricetidae.
GCGGGGCCGGGCGCCGAGCAGGAGCAGAGCGCGGCUGCAGAGUGAGCAGCAAGCAGCGGGGAGACACAGCCCUUCGCCCCAGCCAGCCUCCGCGUGUGUUCCCUCUGUCGGGAGAGCGCCAAUGCCUGGGCCGACCCAAACCUUGUCCCCAAAUGGCGAGAACAACAACGACAUCAUCCAGGAUAACGGGACCAUCAUUCCUUUCCGGAAGCACACAGUGCGCGGGGAGCGGUCCUACAGCUGGGGAAUGGCGGUCAACGUGUAUUCUACCUCGAUCACCCAGGAGACUAUGAGCAGGCAUGACAUCAUUGCAUGGGUUAAUGACAUCGUCUCUCUAAACUACACAAAGGUGGAACAGCUCUGUUCAGGAGCAGCCUAUUGCCAGUUCAUGGACAUGCUCUUCCCAGGCUGUAUUAGUUUGAAGAAAGUAAAAUUCCAAGCAAAGUUGGAACAUGAGUAUAUCCACAAUUUUAAACUUCUGCAGGCAUCGUUUAAGCGGAUGAAUGUUGAUAAGGUAAUUCCAGUGGAGAAGCUGGUGAAAGGGCGUUUCCAAGACAACCUGGAUUUUAUUCAGUGGUUUAAGAAAUUCUACGAUGCUAACUAUGAUGGGAAGGAGUACGAUCCUGUCGAGGCACGACAAGGGCAAGAUGCAAUUCCUCCCCCUGAUCCUGGUGAACAGAUCUUCAACCUGCCCAAGAAGUCUCACCAUGCAAACUCCCCCACAGCAGGUGCGGCAAAAUCAAGCCCAGCAGCUAAGCCGGGAUCCACACCUUCUCGCCCCUCAUCUGCCAAAAGGGCUUCAUCCAGUGGCUCCGCAUCCAGAUCUGACAAAGAUUUAGAAACGCAGGUCAUACAGCUCAACGAGCAGGUAACACAUGGUCUCCACCCAAGUCCUUGGGAACAGCGCUGUGUGUGAGGGGUGAGGAGGUCACGCCCACAGGCCUGGGGGAAGGGAGAAAAGGUGAGACCAGGAGGACCUGCUCAAGAAGGGAGAGACACCACGUGUGAGGAUGUGGAAGAUGAUGCGUGUUGCAGGCUCCCCUUCCAUCCCGAACCCCAGGCCUGCUCUGCCCGCUCCUGGCCAGUCUGAGAAGUGUUAUGGCGGUAUUAGAGUCCAGCUGGCUCCCUCUCCGUCCCUUCUUUCUCAGCAGCUAACGGUUGAGCCUCUUUUAUGUGGUGGACACUGUGCUUGUUCUGGGGGCAUAAUGAUAGCAAGAUGGAUGAUACUGUCCCCUCACUCAGAGCCUACUAACAUCAGAACUUAGUACUAAAAUUAAACAAGUGAAUAAACAGACAAAAAAAAAAAAGCCCUCUCUACAAUAUCAGAACUGCGGUGCCUGGGAGCCCUGAAAGGCAACAUCUGUGUUUUAAAUAGAAAUUUUCCCAACUUACUAGCCCUCUGACAAUUAUGGUAAACCUCGCUACAUCAGCUGACAUUUCCAAGGUGAAACCCUAAGUAAGGGGUUGGGGUGUGACUUUGUGGGAGAGCACCAGUCUAGCCUGCAGGAGGCUCUGGGUUUGAUCCAAAAUGUCUUCUAACUCAUAAUACCUCAUUUUGCCUAGACUAAUACAGCUUAAGAUUAUUAAACCACUGGGCAGUGUGGUGCCCAUUGUAAAGCUACCUGCUUCCUGCCCCAAGUCAACCCCCUUUGGGAAAGAACCUUUCACUGCAAAUCCUUGGGCUGUGCCCAGCUACGUGCUGAGCCUGGCCUAGCCCCUAAUCUUCUGCUUGUUAAGGCAAGAGUCUGAGAACAGUUGUUUUGUUUUGUUUUGUUUUGUUUUGUUUUGUUUUGUUUCUAAAUAAUUGUGUACUCUCAGUCAGGAUUCCAGUGCAGAGUCCCACAGGCUUUGAGUUGAUCACAUUAGCACUUCAGGUAAAAUCUUAAGUCCCCUUAGGACUCUGAUUGGAUAACCAGGGCAUGUUCUAGUUACCUGCUGAUCGUCUAUUGGAGGCCAGGCGGGUUUUAGGUUGGGGGGACAGGUAUUGAUGAGUUCAUUCUCCUUUGCUAACGUAUCAGGAAUGGCAGCCUGAGCCAGCUCACGUUGAGUGUUUCCACAACACUCAUAGUUAAAGAAAGGAGGGAAACGGCAGUUAAUGAGCCUCGGGCCGUAAGCUUAAGACUUCUUGAAAGCCCGAAUGGACGGUGAAAGUCAGGCCUGGGUACAUCAUACUCUAGAGCCCUAGAUUUAUGCCUGUGCCCACAAAGCAGCUCAAGUUUUUCUUUGUCAUUAGCAGCUUGCACUCGGGUCUCCUGACCAACACUCCCCCCACACACACACACACCCUCUCCUUCCGCCUCAGCAUAGUUCCAACCCAGUGACCCAAUUCUGACCACAUGGAAAACUCCAGUUCCCUAGAUAUCUCCAGUCCUUCGUGGCCUUCGCUAGUCAGCUGCCUACUCUCCAUGUGGCUGCUCCGAGGUUUCCUUCAGCUCUCAAAUCACAUACAGGGGGUCUAGUUCCAAAAUGCCUUGCCAGUCCUUAAUGCCAAUCAAGAGAGGACAGAAGGGGCAGGAGCGGGGAAUGGUCUACCUGCUGACCUUCCAGGAGUACUUCUAACAGAGGCCUUACUCCCCUUCUUGUCCCCAACACCUUCACACCUAUGUCCACUCUGUCCUUGCGAGGGCAGGUGAAGCACAACCUAAACUGGACAGAUAUUUACCAAGUCCUCAUCCUGGUUCGUUUCCCUGGUGACCUGAGUCCGGCUGCAGACUCUUGAAGCCUCCAGGAGGAAGACCCUGAGGGUCAUGGGUGGCAGCAACACAAGGCUCCCAGUGUUGGAGUGGAGAACACAGGGACCAGGAGACGCCUAGUGGAAAUGCAGAAGCAUGAAUUAUGGUGGUAAUAGAGAAAGUGACAAUGGCCAUAAACUUAAAGAAUUUUCAUUUACUUGGCCCCGUUCCAUUAUUCAGGCAGUCUCCCAUGAUAUACGGCAAGAGCACACUGUGCUCCACAGUCGCGGUGAUAGCAGUGAAGCAGAAGAGACGGGGGGAAGAGGCAUAAAUGAGACUUUCUGAACAGAGGGUUAGCCAGCAGGAAAGGAUUGGAGCCACUCUGUCACGGGGCCUCUGGGGCCCCAAGACCGUGGACACUGCUGGGAAGUUAGGAAAGCAACUUCCCCCUUUGGACAUGACUUCCUCAGCCUCUGUCACUUAGGCAUCUGUAACCUGUGAGGAAUGAGGCUGGCCAUUUGUCCCUUAGUGGCAUCCGAAUGAAAUUGUGUUUGCUAGCUGAUCUGUGAUUGUUUAAAGUAGCUACUGCCCGAAUUUUAGGUUUUUGGUGUUUUUUUUUUUUUUUGACUUUGUAGACCAAUCUGGAUCUGAGCUCACGGCGAUUCACCUGCCUCAGUCUCUUGAAUAUCAGAAUUACAGGUUUUAGGUUGGGGGGAGACAGGUAUGGACGGGUUCAUUCUUUGCUAACAUAUCAGGAAUGCCAGCCUGAGCCAGCUCACGCUGAGUGUAUCCACGGAAGCCUCAGUGUGCUGUGCAGACCACUGUCCACAGGCACAGCCUGGAUUUUGUAGGCUGGCUGUGCCUGCUGUGAAUUGGAUGUGAAGAGCACCCCAUCCUCCACUGUGUGCUUUAACACUUGGUUCCCAGCCGGCUGUGCUGUCAGGGGAGGUUGUGGAAACCGGAAGUUGAGGCCUCGCUGGAAUGUGGUAGGCCUCGAAGGAUGUAGCUCAGUCCCGCGUCUCUUCUGGGUUGCUACUUCCUGGCCAGCACCAUGUAACACAGGCAGCUGCAGCUGGCUCCUGGCGCCACAGACCAUGCCCUCUGACCCCCCGAUCUGUGGGUCACAAUAAACCCUCCCCUGCGCUGCAUCUGUGGAAAGGAGCUAAAGCAAUACCUCUGCUUGGUUUGGCGGAGCCGAAGGUAUGAUCCUUCCUUCUGCUGCAGCGCAGGGGCCGGGAGGGAGUCUAUGGCCGCGGUCAGAGAUGGGAUCAGAACCAGGGAGGUUUUCCUGUUUCUGAAGUGCAGGCUUCACCGUGUGUGUUUGCAGGUAUGCAGUCUCAACAGGAAUAAAAAGUCAGGCCUAACUAACUGAACCCACACUUCUUUGGAAGUGCUGGUGUGAGGACAUCCAUGAGACCAGCACUAAGGGCCCCUCCCAGCAUAGAUCUGUUUGUCAGAUAUGGGGUAAAGGAAUGGCUGCGUGUACCAGUAUGUGUUUGAAUGUCAGUAGUUUCAGAGAUCUUGUACCAAAAGUCCAACUUAUUUUUUAAUAAAAAAAUAAACAAAAAGGAGAUUUUUUUUUUGCAUCUCAAAAGUAAUUACUAAAAAUAAUGUGCAGGGUUGGUUUUUUUUGUUUUUGUUGUUGUUGUUGUUGUUUUGUGUGUGAAGCAAACUUCACCCAAAAGAAACCCUGAGAUUUUGUUUAUUCCCUAAUGUUUGCUAUGUCAAGGUUUCUUCAGCUGUCUGCACCCACAACCUCUUUUCCCUCCAGAAAUUUCAAGCAACCUCAGGUUCAUAGGACUAUAAAAGGGGAAAACAAAACAAACGACCUGGUCAUAAAUCAUAAGAAAUUUUAUCUUAAAAUAGUUCUUUGGAGCCAGCAUGGUAGCACACACCUUUAAUCCGGACUCAGAAGGCAGAGGCACGUAGGUGGAUCUCAGUGGGUUCUAGGCCAGACAGGACUGUCUCAAAAAAAAAAAAAAAAAAGGCAAAUUUGCACACUAA